CUGAAUUGACUACAGGGGAAAAUAAUUGGGGGAAAGAGCGAUGAGGAAAGUGGGGGAGGAAAUGUCUCCCUCAGAUGCAAAGGCAUUUCCCUUCCCUUCCCUCCCCUUCGCCCCGGCUUACAUUUUCUGCACGGGUUUCCGCCGCUUGCGGCUGGCGUAGGUGACAUUGGGGUUCAUCCUCCUGCUGCUCCCGCUGCUCCCGCCGCGGCUCCAGCGCCUCCGGCCUCAAGAGAUUGUUAUUUGUGUGUGUCAAAUGUAUACGCUUCAAAACACACACACCAAAAGCACCCCACCCCACCCCCCCACCCCCUUUGAGGCCUCCCACCAGCGAGUGGUAAAGGCAGAAUCUCCUCAGAGAAGAAGCAGGUCGCGCGGCCCGGCCUCCUCCGCCCCGCCGUCAAUCCCACUCCAGAGUCCCUUCUUCGGCUGAGAGGAAGGGAGGGAGGAGGGGAGCCAGGUGCUUGGCGCCGGCAACACCCACUCGUCGCCGCCGUCGUCGUCCUCCUCGCUCCGUUUUCGGGGCGGAGAGACAGGUGCGGAGGCGGCCACUCCGUCCCUCCUCCUUCUCCUCAGAGAGAGAGAGAGAAGCCUCCCUUCUCUUCCUUUCCCGUCAGCACAGCCGCCGUCCUCAGGGAGGAAGGAGGGCCUCGCCUCACGCACAGGCGCUCCCUCCGUUUAUUCGCUCUUUCUGCCUCGGUCUCAGCGUCGGGAGCCGAGCCUUCGCUCUCCUUGCAGGCCCGGCCCACCGCCCACCGAGCAGCAGCAGCAGCAGGAGGAGGAGGCCUCGGUGGGGAGGCGCCGGGAGGCGUCAAGGGGGCGGCGCGGCGCCAUGUUGGGAAGAGUGGGUAUGAAUGCCAAGAAGCCAGGCUGUGA
RNAcentral lists this long non-coding RNA (873 nucleotides) under Anolis carolinensis (green anole). RNAcentral describes it as "lncRNA (ENSACAG00000035890.1)". Lineage: Eukaryota; Metazoa; Chordata; Lepidosauria; Squamata; Anolidae. The record is from RNAcentral.